This 106-nucleotide ribosomal RNA is filed under the name uncultured bacterium. RNAcentral describes it as "partial 16S ribosomal RNA". The record is from RNAcentral.
CGUUCCCGGACCUUGUACANACCGCCCGUCAAGCGAUGGAAGUUGGGAGGGACCUGAAGGCAGUAGCUGUGAGGCGCUGUUUAGGGUUAAACCGAUAACUGGCNCU